UGCUCUGCAGGAAGCUCCCAUCCCGCCCCGACGGCCAUGGGCACCAGGCUGCUCUGCUGGGCAGUGCUCUGUCUCCUGGGGGCAGAACACACGGAUGCUGGAGUCUCCCAGUCCCCCAGGCACAGGGUCACAGGGAGGGGACAGAAUGUCACUCUCACGUGUGACCCAGAGUCUGGUCACUAUACCCUUUACUGGUACCGACAGAGCCAAGGGCAAGGCCUGCAGUUGAUGAUGUACUUCCAAGGUAAAGAUCCAGCAGAUGAGUCAGGGCUGCCUGGUGCCCACUUCUCCGCUGAGAGGCCUGGGGGAUCUUCCUCCACCCUGAAGAUCCAGCCUGCACAGCCCGGGGACUCAGCCGUGUACCUCUGUGCCAGCAGCUUAGACACAGUGUGA
Non-coding RNA from Oryctolagus cuniculus (rabbit), 393 nucleotides. The record is from the annotation of a RefSeq genome assembly. NCBI's taxonomy places the organism in Eukaryota, Metazoa, Chordata, Mammalia, Lagomorpha, Leporidae.